This 54-nucleotide ribosomal RNA is filed under the name Geobacillus sp. LEMMJ02. RNAcentral describes it as "partial 23S ribosomal RNA". Lineage: Bacteria; Bacillati; Bacillota; Bacilli; Caryophanales; Anoxybacillaceae. The record is from RNAcentral.
AGGUUAAGCUGGAAAGGGCGCACGGUGGAUGCCUUGGCACUAGGAGCCGAUGAA